CCUACGGGUGGCAGCAGUAGGGAAUUUUCGGCAAUGGGGGGAACCCUGACCGAGCAACGCCGCGUGAACGAAGAAGUUAUUCGUAAUGUAAAGUUCUUUUAACAGGGAAGAAAGAGAAAUUUGACGGUACCUGAAGCCUAAGCUCCGGCUAACUACGUGCCAGCAGCAGCGGUAAUACGUAGGGAGCGAACGUUAUCCGGUUUUAUGGGGCGAAAAGGGUGCGUAGAGGGCAUAGUAAGUCUUAUGGAAAAAUGCUGGCCUCAACCCAGUAUGGCAAAAGAUACUGCAAAGUUAGAGUACGACAGAGGCAAGUGGAACUACAUGUGUAGCGGUAAAAUGCGUAGAUAUAUGGAAGAACACCAGUGGCGAAGGCGGCUUACUGGAUCGAAACUGACAUUGAGGCACGAAAGCGUGGGGAGCAAACAGGAUUAGAUACCCGAGUAGUC
RNAcentral lists this ribosomal RNA (446 nucleotides) under uncultured bacterium. RNAcentral's name for it is "partial 16S ribosomal RNA". It matches the Rfam family "Bacterial small subunit ribosomal RNA", at positions 338 to 795 of the family's 1533-position model. The record is from RNAcentral.